GAAACAGUUGCUAAGACUGGAUAGGAAAAGUAAAGGCAUCUUUACUUUUUUAAAAGAUCUUCUUUGAAGGUAUGCUUAAGGAGGGGCUUGCGACACAUUAGUUAGUUGGUAGGGUAAAGGCCUACCAAGACUAUGAUGUGUAGCUGGACUGAGAGGUUGAACAGCCACAUUGGGACUGAGACACGGCCCAAACUCCUACGGGAGGCAGCAGUAGGGAAUUUUCGGCAAUGGAGGAAACUCUGACCGAGCAACGCCGCGUGAACGAUGAAGUACCUCGGUAUGUAAAGUUCUUUUAUUAAGGAAGAAAAAAGAGUGGAAAAACUCCCUUGACGGUACUUAAUGAAUAAGCCCCGGCUAAUUAUGUGCCAGCAGCCGCGGUAAUACAUAAGGGGCGAGCGUUAUCCGGAAUUAUUGGGCGUAAAGGGUGCGUAGGCGGUUUAAUAAGUCUAUAGUUUAAUUUCAGUGCUUAACGCUGUUGUGCUAUAGAAACUGUUUUACUAGAGUGAGAUAGAGGCAAGCGGAAUUCCAUGUGUAGCGGUAAAAUGCGUAAAUAUAUGGAGGAACACCAGAGGCGUAGGCGGCUUGCUGGGUCUUUACUGACGCUGAGGCACGAAAGCGUGGGGAGCAAACAGGAUUAGAUACCCUGGUAGUCCACGCCGUAAACGAUGAGUACUAAGUGUCGGGUAAAACUGGUACUGAAGUUAACACAUUAAGUACUCCGCCUGAGUAGUACGUACGCAAGUAUGAAACUUAAAGGAAUUGACGGGACUCCGCACAAGCGGUGGAUCAUGUUGUUUAAUUCGAAGAUACACGAAAAACCUUACCAGGUCUUGACAUUUUCUUGCGAAGUUAUAGAAAUAUAAUGGAGGUCAUCAGGAAAACAGGUGGUGCAUGGUUGUCGUCAGCUCGUGUCGUGAGAUGUUAGGUUAAGUCCUAAAACGAGCGCAACCCUUGUCGUUAGUUGCCAGCAUGUAAUGAUGGGGACUUUAACGAGACUGCCAAUGAAAAAUUGGAGGAAGGUGGGGAUUACGUCAAAUCAUCAUGCCCCUUAUGAUCUGGGCUACAAACGUGAUACAAUGGUUGAUACAAAGAGUAGCUGAAACGCGAGUUCUUAGCCAAUCUCAAAAAAUCAAUCUCAGUUCGGAUUGAAGUCUGCAACUCGACUUCAUGAAGUUGGAAUCGCUAGUAAUCGCGAAUCAGCAUGUCGCGGUGAAUACGUUCUCGGGGUUUGUACACACCGCCCGUCA
RNAcentral lists this ribosomal RNA (1247 nucleotides) under Canadian peach X phytoplasma. RNAcentral describes it as "bacterial SSU rRNA". It matches the Rfam family "Bacterial small subunit ribosomal RNA", at positions 153 to 1399 of the family's 1533-position model. Lineage: Bacteria; Bacillati; Mycoplasmatota; Mollicutes; Acholeplasmatales; Acholeplasmataceae. The record is from RNAcentral.